GGAAAGAUCCUCCUAGCAGACUUGGUUCCUCUACCAGUAAUGGAUUUCGAUGUAAUCCUGGGGAUGGACUGGUUGGCAACUCAUUAUGCCACCUUAGACUGCAGGAACAAAAAGGUAUACUUCCACAUACCUGGUGUGGAAGAGUUUAGCUUUGAUGGUGACAGGAGCGUGGCUCCAUAUAACUUGGUGUCGGCAAUUAGUGCUAGGAAAAUGUUGAGGCGUGGAUGCCAAGGGUAUUUGGCAUUGGUGAGAGAUACAUCUGUAGAAGGUGUCAGCAUGGAAAAUGUUCCUGUUGUCAGAGAAUUUAUGGAUGUCUUCCCUGAAGAGCUUCCAGGGUUGCCACCAGAAAGGG
Molecule: unclassified non-coding RNA, 352 nt
Filed under: Hevea brasiliensis (rubber tree)
Lineage: Eukaryota; Viridiplantae; Streptophyta; Magnoliopsida; Malpighiales; Euphorbiaceae
Source: RNAcentral